UGCUGCCGGCCGCGAGCGCAAGCAAAAGGUGGACUCUCUCCGUCAGGGAGCAUCCCUCUCCGGGGUGGAGGCCCAAGGGCAGAGCCUAGCAUCCCACCCAGGUCCCACCUGAGACCCCUGAGCAGGGUGGAGAAGAGAGAAACCACCACAGACAGCGAGCGGAGGACGCGAGGGAAGAUGCCUAAGGAGCUUGAGGAGACGCCCGCUGUGCCCCCGAUCACUGGAGAGCUUUGGUCAUGAGAGCAUAAAAAGAUCUGGCAAGUACUUCUGGAGGGUGAAGCUGCAGCGGCACUGCCAGUUCUGCCUUCAGAGAACUUUCUUUGGCUGUUCUUUUAAGGAGUGCAGAGACAGAAGGGGAAACCAGUCAGAAGGUUCAUGAAGUAAUCCAGGAGGAAUGAUUUUGGUGCUGCCUACCCGAGGUUGAGAGCUCAGAUCCAUAAGCCUUCUGGCAACGAGUCUCAAACUUUUGUCAGAGUUACCUGGAGAGCCUGUUACUAUCCUGGGAUCUUCUCCAGAUACAGUGAUUCAGCAGGCUUGGUGAAGGAGUCAGGAAUCUGCAUUUUUAACAGCUAAUUGUUGAGGACAGUGGUCCCCAACUUGUAUUCAUGGCACAGAAAGAAAAGGAAAAUCAUUAUACGGUGCACAGUUAUAUCACUGCCACAGGGUUAUGUGACCCGCUACCGCCCGCUGCAGAUGGGCUUAAAGAACUGUCAAGAUUUUAUCUUGGCCUGCCACACAUCCAAUUUGCUUAUGUAUGGUGCACAGUUACAAUGGAGAGACUAUGUAACAAUUGCCAGAGUCAAGGAGGCCCUGAGCUCCACCACUGGAAGGGCACAUUAGCACAUCUGGAACCAAUUUGUGGCAUACCACUUGAGAAGGUCUGUUUCAGAACAGCUCUGCUACUUAUGUUCCUCUGAUAAAAUGCCCUUCUCCACUGACAACGUUGCUAGGGUUCUAGAAAACAGAUGCUGGUAAUGAUGUAGAGAAGCCCAACUACGACUAAACAGAAUAAGCAUCAGGAAACCAUCCUCCUGCCCUUUUGUCCUGGACCUUGGCAAGAUAAGGAGUGGAUACUAAACUUCAAGAAAACAACCCAACACUUGUUGUGUUAUUGGAACAUAUGAAAUCUUUGUGAAAGAUAUCCUCUCUCAGCCAAGUUAGUUUAAGGAAACUGAGUGACUCUCAUGAUGUGGAAGUAUCUGGUCAUUAAGAUCUAAGUGACUACAAGCCAAGGGUCUGUGUCUCUUCAAAGGAGACAAAGAGUUGCAGGAGCCAAAGGCCCUGGCAUUAGUUACAUUAUGGCUCUAACUUUUUCUCUUAAAUUUUUUUUAACUUUUAGAGAAUGAUCCACUUUCCCUGCUCAUAUUUAAAGUCACCUUAAAAGUUAAAAAAAAAAAAAAAGCCACCUUUAUCCUACACUGAAUUCUUAUAUACCAAAGUGCCCUCAUAAUUCAAGUAUUUAUUGGCCAUGUAAUCUGUUUUUGGUGUUGAAUCAUAACAUAAUAAAAUACUCUUAGAAAAAGUCUGGGCCUCCUCUAAUAUCUUUCUCUGCUUCACAGUAUCAUCUACAUUUACGCCUGUGUUUCCCAAUGUCUUGUAGGCUGUGCAAUGAAAAACCAUUACAAAGUUGAACUAGCAAAUCUCACAAAAUACGUAGGGCUUUCAUGAGGUUGAUAAACGUGAUGGAAAACUAUUUAAAUCGUGAACAUUGCUAUAGAACAUGUCAGUCCAGUUAGCUAGCUAUUGAAGGGCAGAAGCUAAGGCCAAAAGGGCAAUGACACAAGAAGUUUUAUUAAAGAAUGAUCUAAUUAGACAGAAACCCUUACAAAAAUGAAGUCUAGGAUAUUUUUGUAAAAUGAAUCAAUUGAAA
This is a long non-coding RNA of Neogale vison (American mink), 1870 nucleotides long. RefSeq lists it as uncharacterized. NCBI's taxonomy places the organism in Eukaryota, Metazoa, Chordata, Mammalia, Carnivora, Mustelidae. The record is from RefSeq and is a predicted model, not a curated record. The transcript is spliced from 4 exons.